AUGGGGCCACUAAAGGUGGCCACAUAUUCCUUGACCCUCUGUGAGUCUGUCAGUCUAUAUCUCUCCCUGGACGUAGGCAGGCCUGGGACGGCUUUGACCGUCAGUGUUGGGUGGACAUGGUGCUAUGCUGCACUCCAGGACCUCAGAGCCUGGCUGUUCCACUUUCUGCUCUUGGCCCUGAGCGGCCUUGAAGAAAUCCGACCAGGAGGGAGAGCCCAUGGAGCGGGAAGGCCUGUGGGGCUCAGCCCUGCACCCAGCCUGGAGGCCAGGCCUGUGCACACAGCUGGGACUGAGUACACUGAGUGUGCCCCCUGAAUGCCACGCGCAGCAGAAGAGCCACCCACACUGCCCUGCUGGACCUUGCCCGGACUCCAGACUCACAGACCAAGCACACGAGAGACCAGCAGCUUUGUCAUGCAGUAGCAGGUUCCCUGCUGGGGCCCAUGGGCUGCCCUGUGUACAAGCCACCUGCAGGUCCCCGCCCAGCCCGUGGGCUCAGCAAAGUCCAGCCCCACACCCAGCCUACAUCAUCCUGUCCGGUAAUGGCUGAGAUAACUCAAAGUACAAGAACUUGUCUUCCCAUCGUGUGAGUCCUGAAUUGGAGGAAUGUAUCUUCACCUUUAGCUAUCAGACCACAGAUUGAGGCUUGAAAGUUCUGCCACUGAACAUUGGAAUAGUUUCAAACACUUGUGAAACAACAGUGCCACUGGUCUAAUCCAGAUGAUUCUUUUACAGGUAGCUGUAAUAAUACACAUAGCACCUCUGACUGGGAAUAGUUACUCCCUUUUAGUCUCUGGUCCUUACUUCCCCUUAGAAAUCUAGGGCCUCUUGUGCUUUGAAAAAUUUGCCCCUAUGUAAUAAAUAUGCACGAAUCAUUACACCAAUUUGUCCUUUUCCAGCUUUAUGGUGAGUUGCUGCAACAUGACUUAGCCAUUGGUCAAGAUCUUCACAAAAGGUUUGAUAAGUUCUAGCUGUGGUGGGUUAUGGUCUUCAAAAGGAUAUUGUGCAACUCUGCCGUUAAAUUUGGCGGUGUCAUAAUGUCUUUCAGCACAAAGAUUGUAUAUCUUGUAAUGGUUUUUAUGCUUUGAAUCCAAAAACGUUUCUACAUCAUCAGUAUUGUUCCUGUAUGCGCCUUCAAGUCUUUCUGCAGGAAAUACCAUAGCGAUAAUGUUUGGAUAAAUAUAGGUUAAUUCUAAGUCGAAUCCAUCCUCUUGAUAUCUCCUUUUGUUUCUGCUAACGAUCUUUUUGAUGAUGGCUGUCAUGUCUGGGAGCCUGUGGCUGAGGAAAAAAGGAGAGAGAUGGCAGAAGCUGUGGGUGGUGGGUCUUCUUCUGCAGGAUGGAAAUGGCUCUGGGCUUGGCAGUAGCUGAUGCCCCUUGCUCUGCUGCCACUUGGCUCUGGACCACAGCUGGGUAAUGGCUGCUGGAUGGCAGCUGUCAGGUCUCUGAGCCCAAGCCUGCUCAUAUACAUCCAGAUGGCCUGAAGCAACUGAAGAAUCACAAAAGAAGUGAAAAUGGUCAGUUCCUGUCUUAACUGAUGACAUUAUCUUGUGAAAUUCCUUCUCCUGGACAAUGAGUCUCAGAAGCUCCCCACCAAGGACCUUGGGACCCCUGCCCCUGCCUGCCAGAGAACAACCCCUUUGACUAAUUUUCCAUUACCUACACAAAUCCUAUAAAACUGCCCCCUACCUAUCUUCUUUUGCUGACUCUCUUUUCGGGCUCAGCCCACCUGCACCCAGGUGAUUAAAAAGUUUUAUUGCUCACACAAAGCCUGUUGGUGGUCUCUUCACAGGGAUGUGCGUGACAUUUGGUGCUGUGACUCGGACUGGGGGACCUCCCUUGGGAGAUCAAUCCCUUGUCCUCCUGUCUUUGCUCCAUGAGAAAGAUCUACCUAUGACCUCAGGUCCUCAGACCAACCAGCCCAAGGGAACAUCUCACCAAUUUUAAAUCGGGUAAGCGGCCUCUUUUUACUCUCUCCUCCAACCUCUCUCACUAUCCCUUAACCUCUUUCUCCUUUCAAUUUCAGUGCCACCCUUCAAUCUUUCUCUUCCUUUAAUUUCAGUUCCUUUCCUUUUCUGGUAGAGACAGAGGAGAGGCGUUUUAUCCAUGAACCAAAAACUCCAGUGCCAGUCAUGGACUCGGGAAGACAGUCUUCCCUUGGUGUUUAAUCACUGCAGGGAUGCCUGCCUAAUUACACCUAUAUUUCAGAGGUGUCUGCUUUGAUCCUUCACCUUGGUAGCAAGCACCACCUCCCCUGGGUGGCAAGUACCACCCACCCCCCACUGUGUCUCUACCUUCUCUUUUCUCUGGGCUUACCUCCUUCACUGUAGGCAAGCUUCCACCCACCAUUCCUCCUCCUUCUCCCUUAGCCUGUGUUCUCAAGAACUUAAACUCUCACCUGACCUAAAACCUAAACACUAAAUGCCUUAUUUUCUUCUGCAAUACUGCUUGACCUCAAUACAAACUCGAUAAUGGUUCCAAAUAACCAGAAAAUGGCACUUUCGAUUUCUUCCCUCUACAAGAUCUAGGUAAUUCUUGUCGUAAAAUGGACAAAUGGUCUGAGGUGCCUGAUGUCCAGGUAUUCUUUUACACAUUGUUCCUUUCCUAAUCUCUGCUCCCAUGCAACUCAUGCCAAAUCCUCCUCCUUUCUCUCCUGUCUGUUCCUUCAGUCUCCAUCCCAAGCUCUGAGUCCUUUGAAUCCUGCUUUUCUAUGGACACAUCUGACCUCUCCCCUCCUCCUCAGGCUGCUCCUUGCCAGGCCGAACUAGGUCCCAGUUCUUCCCAAGCCUCCACUCCCCCACCGUAUAAUCUUUUUUAUCAUCUCUCCUCACACCCGGCCUGGCUUACAGUUUCAUUCUGCAAGUAGCCCUCCCCAACUUGCCCAACAAUUUCCUCUUAAGGGGGUGGCUGGAGCUGAAGGCAUAGUCAAGGUUAAUGCUCCUUUUUCUUUAUCUGACCUUUCCCAGAUCAGUUAGGGUGUAGGUUAUUUUUCAUCAAAUAUAAAACCCCAUCCUAGUUCAUGGCCCGUUUGGCAAUAACCCUUAAAAUGCUUUACCUAGAUCCAGAGAGGCCAGAAGGCCAUCUCAUUCUCAAUAUGCAUUUUAUUAUCCAACCCACUCCCGAUAUUAGAAAAAAACUCCAAAAAUUAGAUUCCAGCCCUCAAACCCCACAAGAGGACUUAACCUCUCCUUCAAGGUGUACAAUAAGAGAAAAGAGUUGCAAUUACUUGCCUUCACUGUGAGACAAACCCCAGCCACAUCUGCAGCACACAAGAACUUCAAAACGCCUAAGCCACAGUGGUCAGGCAGUCCUUCAGGGCCUCCUCCCCAGGAUCUUGCUUCAAGUGCUGGAAAUCUGGCCACUGG
This is a long non-coding RNA of Macaca mulatta (Rhesus monkey), 3362 nucleotides long. Lineage: Eukaryota; Metazoa; Chordata; Mammalia; Primates; Cercopithecidae. The record is from Ensembl.